GACGAACGCUGGCGGCGUGCCUAAUACAUGCAAGUCGAACGAGAGCAACCGGUGCUUGCACUGGUCAAUCUAGUGGCGAACGGGUGAGUAACACGUGGGUAACCUGCCCAUCAGAGGGGGAUAACAUCCGGAAACGGAUGCUAAAACCGCAUAGGUCUUCGAACCGCAUGGUUUGAAGAGGAAAAGAGGCGCAAGCUUCUGCUGAUGGAUGGACCCGCGGUCCAUUAGCUAGUUGGUGAGGUAACGGCUCACCAAGGCCGUGAUGCAUAGCCGACCUGAGAGGGUGAUCGGCCACAUUGGGACUGAGACACGGCCCAAACUCCUACGGGAGGCAGCAGUAGGGAAUCUUCCGCAAUGGACGCAAGUCUGACGGAGCAACGCCGCGUGAGUGAAGAAGGUUUUCGGAUCGUAAAACUCUGUUGUUAGAGAAGAACAAGUGCUAGAGUAACUGUUAGCGCCUUGACGGUAUCUAACCAGAAAGCCACGGCUAACUACGUG
RNAcentral lists this ribosomal RNA (498 nucleotides) under uncultured bacterium. RNAcentral's name for it is "partial 16S ribosomal RNA". It matches the Rfam family "Bacterial small subunit ribosomal RNA", at positions 28 to 507 of the family's 1533-position model. The record is from RNAcentral.